Acanthosepion pharaonis is the source of this 89-nucleotide non-coding RNA. The record is from the annotation of a GenBank genome assembly. NCBI's taxonomy places the organism in Eukaryota, Metazoa, Mollusca, Cephalopoda, Sepiida, Sepiidae.
CCGGUUCUCGUACGAUCACUGAAGUUAAGCAACGUUGAGCUUGGUUAGUACCUACAUGGGUGAUCACUUUGGUAUACCAGGUACUGUAA